This is a long non-coding RNA of Ananas comosus (pineapple), 990 nucleotides long. RefSeq lists it as uncharacterized. NCBI's taxonomy places the organism in Eukaryota, Viridiplantae, Streptophyta, Magnoliopsida, Poales, Bromeliaceae. The transcript is spliced from 6 exons. The record is from RefSeq and is a predicted model, not a curated record.
ACCUUAUCACCUAAACCAGCUCACCUGAAGUUGCUUACGUACUGGAUGUUUAUCCUCUCAGCCCCUUUUCACUUCUCUUUCCUCUCUCUCUCUACUUAGCAAACAAUUAAGAGAAAAGGGAUUACCUUUCCUGCUGGAACUGAAGCAGACCUUGGGGAAGCCUUCAAUCCAGCCUGGUGGCUUGCGGGCUGAGGAGGAGGUUUUGAUCCGAGCAGGAUUCCUGCUGAUGGAGUUGUGAACUAAGAUUUAAAGGAAAUCUCUGCAGUUGAUGCUGCCGAACUGCAGGAAAUUAGGCUAAUUGAAGCUAUCAAGUGGAAGUCCAGCUGAGAAUAAUUCAUAAAAGGGGUUCACGGUUGCUGAAAUUUCAGAUUUCAGAAUUGGGGAAUUUUGGGAAUUAAAAUUUGGUGGAGUUGAUGCAAUAAUUAAACUGCUUGUGACCCGAAUUGUGAAGAACCUGGUAGAGCUCGGAAAUGAGGAAUUGGGAAAAAGGAAAAAGAAGUUAAGUGCUGAAAUUCCUGCAGUAAGGAAUUUCUUGCUUGCUGAAGUUGCUGAAUCAAGGUUGCAGUUGAAGGAAAUUACAACUCAAGUGGAACUUCUUUUGAUGCUUAAGCUGAAAAAAAGGAAGUUCUAGAAAGCUGAGAGCAAAUUAGAAGCUUCUAGUUCAGGUUCUUGGUACGCUAAUUACGAUAAAGCCAGUUAGGCUCUAUUUGCAUCUAGUCGGGUGAUACCUUCGUGGAUUCAGCCCGAGACGUGAGUUCUAAUUGUUAGCAUCCCUACAGGUUCCAGUGCGAGCGUUGUGGCCAUGGAUCGCGGCAAGGGCCCCGCAGCUUAGCUAGCUGACACCAGAGUUCUAGUAGUUUACCAUUUUGGCUUCAUGUAUCAUCUAGUUUGAUGUACAGAGACAUGUAAAUGAAUGUAUUAUAGAAUAUGUAAAUAACUAAAUGCGUUCAUACUCAGUUAUGCAAAGUUCAGUUUGAAAGUUUUAAAUUA